RNAcentral lists this ribosomal RNA (738 nucleotides) under uncultured bacterium. Its description in RNAcentral is "bacterial SSU rRNA". It matches the Rfam family "Bacterial small subunit ribosomal RNA", at positions 61 to 780 of the family's 1533-position model. The record is from RNAcentral.
GUCAGGAGAACUUUAUCUUCGGAUAAAUAUUAAACUGGCGAACGGGUGAGUAACGCGUAAAUAACUUGCCUUGGAGAUUGGGAUAACAUUGGGAAACCAGUGCUAAUACCAAAUAAUGCAGCGGGCCCUUCGGGGCAUUUGUUGUUAAAGUAGGCUUCGGCUUACACUUUGAGAUAGAUUUGCGUCCGAUUAGUUUGUUGGUAGGGUAAUUGCCUACCAAGGCGAAGAUCGGUAGCUGGUCUGAGAGGAUGAUCAGCCACACUGGAAUUGAGAUACGGUCCAGACUCCUACGGGAGGCAGCAGUGAGGAAUUUUGCACAAUGGGCGAAAGCCUGAUGCAGCAACACCGCGUGAUUGAUGAAGUUUUUAGGAAUGUAAAAAUCUGUCGUAAGGGAAGAAAUGUUUCAGAUGUUAAUACCAUCUGUCAUUGACGGUACCUUACAAGAAAGGACCGGCUAACUUCGUGCCAGCAGCCGCGGUAAUACGAGGGGUCCUAGCGUUGUCCGGAUUUACUGGGCGUAAAGGGUACGUAGGCGUUUUAAAAAGUUAUGUGUUAAAUACUUUAGCUUAACUAAAGAAGUGCACAUAAAACUAUUAAAAUAGAGUUUGAGAGAGGAACGCAGAAUUCAUGGUGGAGCGGUGACAUGCGUAGAUAUCAUGAGGAAAGCCAAAUGCGAAGGCAGCCUUCUGGCUCAAAACUGACGCUGAGGUACGAAAGCGUGGGGAGCGAACAGGAUUA